RNAcentral lists this ribosomal RNA (500 nucleotides) under uncultured bacterium. Its description in RNAcentral is "partial 16S ribosomal RNA". It matches the Rfam family "Bacterial small subunit ribosomal RNA", at positions 30 to 523 of the family's 1533-position model. The record is from RNAcentral.
AUUGAACGCUGGCGGCAUGCCUUACACAUGCAAGUCGAACGGCAGCACGGGAGCAAUCCUGGUAGCGAGUGGCGAGCGGGUGAGUAAUAUAUCGGAACGUGCCCAGUCGUGGGGGAUAACGUAGCGAAAGCUACGCUAAUACCGCAUACGAUCUAUGGAUGAAAGCGGGGGAUCGCAAGACCUCGCGCGAUUGGAGCGGCCGAUAUCAGAUUAGGUAGUUGGUGAGGUAAAGGCUCACCAAGCCGACGAUCUGUAGCUGGUCUGAGAGGACGACCAGCCACACUGGGACUGAGACACGGCCCAGACUCCUACGGGAGGCAGCAGUGGGGAAUUUUGGACAAUGGGCGCAAGCCUGAUCCAGCAAUGCCGCGUGCAGGAUGAAGGCCUUCGGGUUGUAAACUGCUUUUGUACGGAGCGAAAAGGCUCCCUCUAAUACAGGGGGCUCAUGACGGUACCGUAAGAAUAAGCACCGGCUAACUACGUGCCAGCCGCCGCCGUAA